GACCUUGAAGGGCCCUGGCCACUUCCCAGGCCAGUUUCCUGCAAUGCCCGGCUGCCGCCCGUGCCCCUCCUGCCUCCAAAACCCCAGGGUCCUCGGAGCCUCCUGCCGGAGCUGAGGACCCAGCUUCCCAUGGCCACCCUAAGGACAGGCAGAUCUGAACUCCCUGGCGCAGACGUGAGCCGUGAGCCAGGUUGGCAGCUGGAGGCACUGAGCAGGUGGCAGUCCUGCCUCCCCUGUGCUGAAUAGCAAUUGCCGACGCAGGGCUUCUGUUAUAAAUAGAAGAGGUUCAGGGCUGGGAGGCCUGGGGACUGCCUGCCACCCCCUCACUUGCCAGGUGGCCCUGGACACUCCCCUGAAGACCUGGAGCCUGCAGACUGUGGACAUUCAGUCCCUGCCAGUCCAGGACAGGCAGGAAGUGGGAUCCAUCCAGCGCAGGAGGGAAAUCAAGAUGUGGUGCUGCUGAGCUCAGAGGCCCACAGACCUCAGUCUUCCCUGGGUUCUGAGUGCUGAGUGGGGCAUCCAGGAGCAUCUGAGACCAGCCACCACCCAGCCCAUGACCGUCCCCUCGGAGAGCAGGAAGGAUUCUGAAACUUCUCACCCAAACCAGGACUUGACCAAUAAUUAAGCUGGGACCAGAGGCACAAAAGAGACUCCUGCUGACCUUCCAGAUAUGACAGAGGAGUUAAUGUGAAAUCUAGCUACUCCCGGGCCGGCGCCACGGGGAAGAGCCUUUUACACAAAUAUCUGUCACGUUUGCCGCACACACGUGUGACUCAAGGCAUGCCACUGUGAAUGUGGCGGGCAUGUUCUGCUCCGUGUUGUCCCCAGCGGCCAACACCUUCCCUAAAUGGAUUUAGGAGGCCAGUUCGCACCUACCUUGCCUGCCCCACCCCAGGGAGGGGCCGGGGCUGGGGGAGCACAACAGGGUGCUGCCAGCAAGCCCGCAUCCCCCCACUGUCAAUUAUUUCUCACAACUUAGGAAGAGCAGGGAAGUCCUGGGUCACGCGGCAUCGUCACCCACAAGCCAUUUCUUUUGCAGCUAGCCGGGCUCCUGCAGAAGCGUGUGUGAGUCCUGUGGAGAGUAGAGCCGUCUGGGUGAGAGACACUGGGGACAGCCGGAGCCAGCAAAGGAGCUCUGCCUGCACCCACCGCACAGCUGGGCGGGCUCACGCCGGCCGUCCCCGCAGGCCGGUCACCCCCCCCUUGGUUAAGGCACUUUGUUUCACAACCCCUCUGACAGGCCCCAAUUUCCUCAUUUCCCUGUUGGAACGCGUCGCAUCGUGUCUUGUUAGGAUCCUGCCUUUCCUUCCCUGCACGAGGUCUCCGCACAGACUCUUAGCGAACAUUAGUUUUUAAUGGCUGUAAUAUUCUUUCGAGUGGAUAAACCACAGGUUACUUAAACAUUCCCCAUGUUCAGGCACUUGGGUUUCUUCUAAUUAUUUUGCUACAAAUAUAUAUUUUUGUGUUUCGCAUUACUUCCUCGGGACAGCAGCCAAGCAAUUAACUUGCCCGUCUUGGGGGGGCCUUUCUAGAAGUGUGGUCACGUGGCCGGCUGCCUGCUCCCGGGAGUCCCUGCCUGCCCCGACACAGCCCCCCAGGCUCAGCCCCCAAGCAUGCAGCUUCCAGCCCAAAAGCACACUGUGGACAUCGGCACAUUUCAGUGUCUCCCCAUGUUAAUAAGAGGAGAAUUUUGUCGUAAUGUGCAUUUCCGUUAUUACUAGGGAGGGAGCACGCUCCUCCACAGUCCCUUCCUGGCUGCGUGUGGAUCGCGCAGCCGUGGGUUUUGGUCAGUGUCUAGUUGAGGCCGUGCGUUACCGAGGACCUUUGUGAACUCGUCCCGCACUAACGAUGCCCGCCCUUAGCGUGCCAUGGGCAGUUCUCCCCACACGACAGCGGCUCUCCUGGGCACACAAAAAUAUAUAUUUGUAGCAAAAUAAUUAGAAGAAACCUUUCUUGCACCUGCCAUAUGCAAAAUUUUCCUGUCUCCUGUGAACAGCUGCCAUUUCAUCUAUUCUUCUGGUUUUAAAUGCAUCCCCCCGCCCCAUGUCUUGCUCUUUGGCUCUGGAUUCCCGGCUUCUGGUGGGUGUUUUACCAUCAUCUGGACGCUGUCGACCCAGAGUUCACAGCCAGGAGCAGCGCCCAUGGCCUGCUUCAGCUCAUGGUGCAAGAGGGGGUUGGAGGGGCACCUCCCGCCUGCAGACCUGGAGGUUGGAGAGCAGCGCUCCUGGGUGGGGCCCGGGGCCGGGAAGUCCCCACACGGUCCCUCCUGGAGGGCUUUCUUCUCCCACGUCCCUGUAUUGGUUCUCAAUCAGGGACAACCCCCCCCCCAGGAACGUUUGGCCAUCUCUGGUUGUCACAACAGGAGCAAGGCAGGGGCACCCAGUGGGUGCAGGGGUGGAUGCCACUUGAGAUCCUACAGGGCACAGAACGCAGCACAGCCCCUGCCCCAGGACACAGAAUCGCCCAGCUCCUAAUGUCACUGUCUGGAGGUUAAGACGUCCUGCUUUAGGCUAGAUGGCAUCUUCCCGGGAGAGGCCACUACGGCUAUGCUGGACAAGGGCCCAGUGUCGGCCGGUCAGUCGGUGUGGCGGUCCUGCUGUGCGGUUCCGCCCUCCCUCCUGGAUGGCACUAGGCAGCAGCACACACACAGUCACAAGAAAAAGACCACCUGCCCGCUUCCCUUGCAGCUGGAUGCUGCUGUGCCCGGCACUGAGCUGUGAGCAGUGACAGGGGCAGCUUCAGGGGCAGGAUCAGCAGUCUGUUGCCACUCCUGCCUCCCUUCUCCUGGGCCCUAGGAUGUGGUGUUGGAGCUGCAGCCCCCAUUUUGUGCCAUGAUGUGGCUUUGGAACUGCAGGCUCCGUGGCUCAGUGCACCCACAGGACUGAAGCAGCCUGGUCCCUGGGAGCUCCUGGUCCCUGUGGCACAGCCCACUCCGGUCCUGGAUUGCCCACCCCCAUGCCCAUGGAAAGGGAAGACAGGUCCUCUCUGGGCCAUUGCUGUUCUGAGUCUCUGUGACUUGCCACUGAGCUUCAGCGUUGCAAAUGUGGAUUAGAAACCUUUGUGGAGGUUUCUGAUAAAUUCCAACAGGAAGCUGAGAGGAUUAAGCAGAAUAAAAUGUGCAGAUUUCUUAACUGA
Long non-coding RNA from Marmota monax (woodchuck), 3135 nucleotides. RefSeq lists it as uncharacterized. The record is from RefSeq and is a predicted model, not a curated record. NCBI's taxonomy places the organism in Eukaryota, Metazoa, Chordata, Mammalia, Rodentia, Sciuridae. The transcript is spliced from 5 exons.